This 103-nucleotide non-coding RNA is filed under the name Bacillus cereus. Its description in RNAcentral is "TPP sequence". It matches the Rfam family "TPP riboswitch aptamer (THI element)". From Rfam's summary of the family: Vitamin B(1) in its active form thiamin pyrophosphate (TPP) is an essential coenzyme that is synthesised by coupling of pyrimidine and thiazole moieties in bacteria. The previously detected thiamin-regulatory element, thi box was extended, resulting in a new, highly conserved RNA secondary structure, the THI element, which is widely distributed in eubacteria and also occurs in some archaea. Analysis of operon structures identified a large number of new candidate thiamin-regulated genes, mostly transporters, in various prokaryotic organisms. Lineage: Bacteria; Bacillati; Bacillota; Bacilli; Caryophanales; Bacillaceae. The record is from RNAcentral.
GGAUACCACUAGGGGUGCCUAAUAGGCUGAGAGAGGAAUGAACCUUAACCCUUAUGGACCUGAUCUAGGUAAUACUAGCGAAGGGAAGUGGAGCAAUGCAUAU